Petromyzon marinus (sea lamprey) is the source of this 989-nucleotide long non-coding RNA. RefSeq lists it as uncharacterized. The record is from RefSeq and is a predicted model, not a curated record. NCBI's taxonomy places the organism in Eukaryota, Metazoa, Chordata, Hyperoartia, Petromyzontiformes, Petromyzontidae.
CAGAUUCAUGAACAAAAAUGCUUUUCCUGGGAUAUUCAAUUGUGGCAUUCAUGGUAUUUUCACACGGUGCGGCGAAUGAAACCCGGGCAUUAACAGCGAUUUCAGGAGAUCAGGUGGUGCUGUCCUGUGGUAUUGCUGAUGGCUCCGUAAAGAGGUGACACGGAGGAGAAUCAUGGUGCACAGAACACGGACGCUGGCACGGAGCAACUCCAAAUUGCACGGCAAAGUAGAGAAUGCAACGUGGGUUUUGGAUAUUUUGGGUUGUUAACAUGAGGAUGGGAAUUGCGUGUCGUCAAUCAUUGGCGUGGCACGAACCCCUUCCUCUCUGCUGAUACCUGCAGCGCGUGCGGAGGAUAAAGCAACGUACCGCUGCCUAUUCGGCAUUCAUGCAAACAAACUUGUGCAGAAGCUCGAAUAUCAACUGACCGUGAUCGAGAGAGAAAGAGGGGAAGAAACUGACGGAAUCGUUCUCCCAAAAGGAUGCAUCUCAGGGUUGGCCACCCCCAGUACCCAUGGCUGUCAGAACUCAAGUGCGGUUCAGGAAUCUCAGGCCAACAAAUUACCAGACAGGCCCUACGAGACGCUGUUUUUCAUCGCCGUCGUAACGGUGGCUGUGCUGCUGCCAGUGUCCAUGUUGUUAAUAUACAAACUGGUGAAGGUGAAAGAAGAAUGCCUGUCAUUGAAAUCAAAAUUGCAAGGACUUGGCACACUUGCUGCGCAAGGACACGCUUCGGAUGCAGUGGAGGAGCCCUAUUACUGUCCACUCCGGGGGAAAGGGGGCAACUCCGAGAUCUACACUCAUCUGCCUGGACAAACAUAAUGCACCUACACCUUCAUUCGACACGCAUGCUCUAGGUCAGGGAAAAGCUAAAGGCUGACCUAGAAUUCCCAGGUUAUUGCCAUGCAUUGUGAUAGCAAAAUAAAAACUACGAAACUAUCAACUAUUUUUAUUUUACCAGGUAAGGCCCACUGAGCUAUAUAGCCCUUUU